AUGCAUGUUAACAUGUUUGGUUUAAUUGAUUUGAUAAGGCUUUGGGGCUUACUUAAGAGUUUAUCUUUGUUCUUGAGUCCUUCAAAUCUUGUAUUGUUCCACUAUAGCCUUGUCUUUGUAUUGGGAAGUCAUCUGUGUGCAAGUGCUAUUAUGUGUGGCUUUAAUCCAAAAGAUGUGAACGCUAUAUUGACUUCAUUAUGUCAAGUGUUAGUUUCUUGUUUGGUCAGGCCCCUUGUGAUACGGUGGCAGAACCGGCUGUUAAUACUGGUUUUGCGUUUGUGUUUGCAAAUGUUGCGGUAA
This is a non-coding RNA of Vicia faba (fava bean), 300 nucleotides long. NCBI's taxonomy places the organism in Eukaryota, Viridiplantae, Streptophyta, Magnoliopsida, Fabales, Fabaceae. The record is from the annotation of a GenBank genome assembly.